GAUGAACGCUGGCGGCGUGCCUAAUACAUGCAAGUCGAGCGAACAGACGAGGAGCUUGCUCCUCUGACGUUAGCGGCGGACGGAUGAGUAACACGUGGAUAACCUACCUAUAAGACUGGGAUAACUUCGGGAAACCGGAGCUAAUACCGGAUAAUAUAUUGAACCGCAUGGUUCAAUAGUGAAAGACGGUUUUGCUGUCACUUAUAGAUGGAUCCGCGCCGCAUUAGCUAGUUGGUAAGGUAACGGCUUACCAAGGCAACGAUGCGUAGCCGACCUGAGAGGGUGAUCGGCCACACUGGAACUGAGACACGGUCCAGACUCCUACGGGAGGCAGCAGUAGGGAAUCUUCCGCAAUGGGCGAAAGCCUGACGGAGCAACGCCGCGUGAGUGAUGAAGGUCUUCGGAUCGUAAAACUCUGUUAUUAGGGAAGAACAAAUGUGUAAGUAACUAUGCACGUCUUGACGGUACCUAAUCAGAAAGCCACGGCUAACUACGUG
Molecule: ribosomal RNA, 497 nt
Filed under: uncultured bacterium
Lineage: Bacteria
Description: partial 16S ribosomal RNA
Rfam family: Bacterial small subunit ribosomal RNA
Source: RNAcentral